AUGAUGGACUAUAGGACAGGACUGCUGCUGUUAACUCUCUGCUGGGCAGGUGUUGAUGGUCAGACUCUGACAGAAUCUGAACCAGUGGUUAAAAGGCCUGGAGAAUCCCACAGACUGACCUGUACAGGCUCUGGAUUCUCAUUCAGCAACUACGAUAUGCACUGGAUCAGACAGGCUCCUGGAAAAGGACUGGAGUGGAUUGCCUGGCAUGGCACUGAUAGCAGCAAAACCUACUCUCAGUCAGUCCAAGGCCGGUUUACCAUCUCCAGAGACGACAGCAGACAGCAGCUGUAUCUGCAGAUGAACAGUCUGAAGACUGAAGAUUCUGCUGUUUAUUAUUGUGCUGGAGACUCACAGUGACUGGAGUUGGUUGAACAGCUGUACAAAAUCCAUCAAUCCUCAUAUUUCAGCCUGAGUGUUAAGUGUUAUUGUGUUAUAUACAUUACAUAUCAAAUAUUUGAUUUACAUAUGACAUCUUUAAAUAAGAGUAUAUGCUUCACAUCACCCAUACUUUAUUCUUUCACAAGAAAUAUGACUAAACAUUAAACAAGAAAAUCCUAAAAAGGAUAAUUUG
This is a non-coding RNA of Seriola aureovittata, 574 nucleotides long. The record is from the annotation of a RefSeq genome assembly. Lineage: Eukaryota; Metazoa; Chordata; Actinopteri; Carangiformes; Carangidae.